UGGGGAAUAUUGGACAAUGGGCGCAAGCCUGAUCCAGCCAUGCCGCGUGUGUGAAGAAGGCCUUAUGGUUGUAAAGCACUUUAAGCGAGGAGGAGGCUACUUUAGUUAAUACCUAGAGAUAGUGGACGUUACUCGCAGAAUAAGCACCGGCUAACUCUGUGCCAGCAGCCGCGGUAAUACAGAGGGUGCAAGCGUUAAUCGGAUUUACUGGGCGUAAAGCGCGCGUAGGCGGCUAAUUAAGUCAAAUGUGAAAUCCCCGAGCUUAACUUGGGAGUUGCAUUCGAUACUGGUUAGCUAGAGUGUGGGAGAGGAUGGUAGAAUUCCAGGUGUAGCGGUGAAAUGCGUAGAGAUCUGGAGGAAUACCGAUGGCGAAGGCAGCCAUCUGGCCUAACACUGACGCUGAGGUGCGAAAGCAUGGGGAGCAAACAGGAUUAGAUACCCUGGUAGUCCAUGCCGUAAACGAUGUCUACUAGCCGUUGGGGCCUUUGAGGCUUUAGUGGCGCAGC
RNAcentral lists this ribosomal RNA (506 nucleotides) under uncultured bacterium. Its description in RNAcentral is "partial 16S ribosomal RNA". It matches the Rfam family "Bacterial small subunit ribosomal RNA", at positions 355 to 852 of the family's 1533-position model. The record is from RNAcentral.